This 497-nucleotide ribosomal RNA is filed under the name uncultured bacterium. RNAcentral's name for it is "partial 16S ribosomal RNA". It matches the Rfam family "Bacterial small subunit ribosomal RNA", at positions 28 to 507 of the family's 1533-position model. The record is from RNAcentral.
GAUGAACGCUGGCGGCGUGCCUAAUACAUGCAAGUCGAGCGAACAGACGAGGAGCUUGCUCCUCUGACGUUAGCGGCGGACGGGUGAGUAACACGUGGAUAACCUACCUAUAAGACUGGGAUAACUUCGGGAAACCGGAGCUAAUACCGGAUAAUAUAUUGAACCGCAUGGUUCAAUAGUGAAAGACGGUUUUGCUGUCACUUAUAGAUGGAUCCGCGCCGCAUUAGCUAGUUGGUAAGGUAACGGCUUACCAAGGCAACGAUGCGUAGCCGACCUGAGAGGGUGAUCGGCCACACUGGAACUGAGACACGGUCCAGACUCCUACGGGAGGCAGCAGUAGGGAAUCUUCCGCAAUGGGCGAAGGCCUGACGGAGCAACGCCGCGUGAGUGAUGAAGGUCUUCGGAUCGUAAAACUCUGUUAUUAGGGAAGAAUAAAUGUGUAAGUAACUAUGCACGUCUUGACGGUACCUAAUCAGAAAGCCACGGCUAACUACGUG